Molecule: long non-coding RNA, 432 nt
Organism: Betta splendens (Siamese fighting fish)
Lineage: Eukaryota; Metazoa; Chordata; Actinopteri; Anabantiformes; Osphronemidae
Exons: 2
Source: RefSeq, a predicted model, not a curated record
AUUUGUACCACGCAGUCUCGGUUUUCAUGCUUUUUAAAAAUGACUCUCUCAUUACCUCAGACAAGGCAAGGCUGUUUGUUCAUUCUGUGACCAAGUCAUCAGUGGAAAUGUCAAGAUCACGUUCAGUGACCCACCACUGACCUGCCACAGCGAAUGUCUCAAGUGUGGUGUUUGCGCCAAGGACCUGGGAGAUUUUCUGAUCCCCAUUUACCUGCACAACCAGUUGUUCCACUGUAAAGGCUGCUUCGUAAAGGCCCUCAAGACCUGAAGCCCAAGGGGGACGAAUGUGUCAUCACAGCAGUCUCAUGUCCCGCGGUGAUUAAUCAACAACGUUUAAAUGAAGUACUUUACAAUAAGCAUAAUAUCUUUAUUAACAGUGUAUGUAUACAUGGGUAUCGUCUGUAGUUAAAAUAAAAUCUUAGAAUAAAAUGG